This 409-nucleotide ribosomal RNA is filed under the name uncultured bacterium. RNAcentral describes it as "bacterial SSU rRNA". It matches the Rfam family "Bacterial small subunit ribosomal RNA", at positions 59 to 516 of the family's 1533-position model. The record is from RNAcentral.
CAGUCGAGCGCCCCGCAAGGGGAGCGGCAGACGGGUGAGUAACGCGUGGGAAUCUACCGUACCCUACGGAAUAGCUCCGGGAAACUGGAAUUAAUACCGUAUACGCCCUUCGGGGGAAAGAUUUAUCGGGGUAUGAUGAGCCCGCGUUGGAUUAGCUAGUUGGUGGGGUAAAGGCCUACCAAGGCGACGAUCCAUAGCUGGUCUGAGAGGAUGAUCAGCCACAUUGGGACUGAGACACGGCCCAAACUCCUACGGGAGGCAGCAGUGGGGAAUAUUGGACAAUGGGCGCAAGCCUGAUCCAGCCAUGCCGCGUGAGUGAUGAAGGCCCUAGGGUUGUAAAGCUCUUUCACCGGUGAAGAUAAUGACGGUAACCGGAGAAGAAGCCCCGGCUAACUUCGUGCCAGCACCG